AUGGAUACUUUAGAACAACUCAGACUAUUUCAGGACAUAGUUUGCACAAGGUACCUGACAGACAACGUGACCCUGCGGACACUAGAGCAAGCAGAUCCAGCAGCCUCAAGUAGACUAGCCGAUGCCAACCGCACGAAUGAAAUCGUAGCCACAACAGAACCAAGAGAAAGGAGAAAAAGAAAGAAAGAAGAAGAAAACGAAGAGAGGAAGAGAAGAACAAAAUCAAGGGACGAUGAACUCCAACAGCAGGAUUGUGUCAACAACCCCAAAAACAAGAAUGAAUGCAACAAACAAAGCAACCUCACAACAGACAGUGCUACAACAACAACUACCCCAACACAAGCACAAGAUACGAUCGACGUCAGAACCAGUGAAGAGGCUCAGUUGGAGAACAAUCAAGUGAGCAGUCCGGUCAACCAAAUGCAAGAGGCUGACCCACAAUCAACCGUUAGCAUAACAAACGACAAAGAAGAAGAAAACAACGAAGAGGAGGUAUCACAAUCGCUGCAAGACCAAGAGACAACCCGUGUUGAAAUUGAACCCCAUAGUGAACCUCAAACAGAUGGAGUCACAGAACAGGAAGUUUGUGCACAAGAGAUUUCCAGUGCCACAACAUUGCAGACCACCAUCACGAGUACAAAGGAGAAAACCCAAGACAUCCCAGCCGAUGAGAAACUAGAGACUGUUAUACCUGACAAAGAAACAGUCGAUGCAGGCACGAAUAACACAGUCAUCAACACAGAGUCUUUGAACUUGAAACCGCAACAUCUGAAGAGGUGUGGUUACAAAGCUCAGACACAAAUGAAGUUCAAUCUAUAA
Molecule: ribosomal RNA, 819 nt
Filed under: Triticum aestivum (bread wheat)
Lineage: Eukaryota; Viridiplantae; Streptophyta; Magnoliopsida; Poales; Poaceae
Description: partial small subunit ribosomal RNA
Source: RNAcentral